UGGAGGCAGCAGUGAGGAAUCUUGCGCAAUGGGGGAAACCCUGACGCAGCGACGCCGCGUGGGUGAUGAAGGCCUUCGGGUCGUAAAGCCCUGUCAGGUGGGAAGAAACGUAUCGGUGCUAAUAUCAUCGAUAUUUGACGGUACCACCGGAGGAAGCACCGGCUAACUCCGUGCCAGCAGCCGCGGUAAUACGGAGGGUGCAAGCGUUGUUCGGAAUUACUGGGCGUAAAGCGCGUGUAGGCGGUCAGGUAAGUCAGAUGUGAAAGCCUUCCGCUUAACGGAAGAAGGGCAUUUGAAACUACCUGGCUGGAGUACGGGAGAGGAGAGUGGAAUUCCCGGUGUAGAGGUGAAAUUCGUAGAUAUCGGGAGGAACACCAGUGGCGAAGGCGGCUCUCUGGCCCGAUACUGACGCUGAGACGCGAAAGCGUGGGGAGCAAACAGGAUUAGAUACCCCUGUAGUCCC
Molecule: ribosomal RNA, 463 nt
Filed under: uncultured bacterium
Lineage: Bacteria
Description: bacterial SSU rRNA
Rfam family: Bacterial small subunit ribosomal RNA
Source: RNAcentral